GUAAUGGUGUCUUUAGACACCACCUAUUAUUGGAAUGUAUAUCUCU
This is a non-coding RNA of Picea glauca (white spruce), 46 nucleotides long. NCBI's taxonomy places the organism in Eukaryota, Viridiplantae, Streptophyta, Pinopsida, Pinales, Pinaceae. The record is from Rfam.